GGGCGCUUGGCUCAGCGGUAGAGCAUCGCCUUCACACGGCGGGGGUCAGUGGUUCGAAUCCACUAGCGCCCA
This 72-nucleotide transfer RNA is filed under the name Acidobacteriota bacterium. It matches the Rfam family "tRNA". Rfam says of the family: Transfer RNA (tRNA) molecules are approximately 80 nucleotides in length. Their secondary structure includes four short double-helical elements and three loops (D, anti-codon, and T loops). The record is from Rfam by way of RNAcentral. Lineage: Bacteria; Pseudomonadati; Acidobacteriota. RNAcentral also lists the same sequence under 2 other names.